GAUGAACGCUGGCGGCGUGCCUAAUACAUGCAAGUCGAGCGAACAGACAAGGAGCUUGCUCCUUUGACGUUAGCGGCGGACGGGUGAGUAACACGUGGGUAACCUACCUAUAAGACUGGGAUAACUUCGGGAAACCGGAGCUAAUACCGGAUAAUAUUUCGAACCGCAUGGUUCGAUAGUGAAAAGAUGGUUUUGCUAUCACUUAUAGAUGGACCCGCGCCGUAUUAGCUAGUUGGUAAGGUAACGGCUUACCAAGGCGACGAUACGUAGCCGACCUGAGAGGGUGAUCGGCCACACUGGAACUGAGACACGGUCCAGACUCCUACGGGAGGCAGCAGUAGGGAAUCUUCCGCAAUGGGCGAAAGCCUGACGGAGCAACGCCGCGUGAGUGAUGAAGGUCUUCGGAUCGUAAAAACUCUGUUAUUAGGGAAGAACAUACGUGUAAGUAACUAUGCACGUCUUGACGGUACCUAAUCAGAAAGCCACGGCUAACUACGUG
RNAcentral lists this ribosomal RNA (499 nucleotides) under uncultured bacterium. RNAcentral describes it as "bacterial SSU rRNA". It matches the Rfam family "Bacterial small subunit ribosomal RNA", at positions 28 to 507 of the family's 1533-position model. The record is from RNAcentral.